This 450-nucleotide ribosomal RNA is filed under the name uncultured bacterium. RNAcentral describes it as "bacterial SSU rRNA". It matches the Rfam family "Bacterial small subunit ribosomal RNA", at positions 354 to 796 of the family's 1533-position model. The record is from RNAcentral.
GUGGGGAAUAUUGGACAAUGGGCGAAAGCCUGAUCCAGCCAUGCCGCGUGUGUGAAGAAGGUCUUCGGAUUGUAAAGCACUUUAAGUUGGGAGGAAGGGCAGUAAGUUAAUACCUUGCUGUUUUGACGUUACCAACAGAAUAAGCACCGGCUAACUUCGUGCCAGCAGCCGCGGUAAUACGAAGGGUGCAAGCGUUAAUCGGAAUUACUGGGCGUAAAGCGCGCGUAGGUGGUUCAGCAAGUUGGAGGUGAAAUCCCCGGGCGCAGCCUGGGAACUGCGUCCAAAACUGCAUGACUAGAGUACGGUAGAGGGUAGUGCAAUUUCCUGUGUAGCGGUGAAAUGCGUAGAUAUAGGAAGGAACACCAGUGGCGAAGGCGACUACCUGGACUGAUACUGACACUGAGGUGCGAAAGCGUGGGAAGCAAACAGGAUUAGAAACCCGAGUAGUCC